CGCUGAGUAACGCCUGACCUCUGUAACCAAACCGUUACAUGUAUCGUCUGCAAAUGAAGCUGUACAUGAAGUAUAAGGAUGCACAUUAAUCAAAUGCUCCACAAUUGAAGGUCAUCACUGGAUUCAUCGGACAACCAUUAAUAAUAAGCGUAUGUGUAUUUAUUUUGUUAUUACAUAAUAUGGAAUAUGUUUUUGUGCAUCGUUGUGUGUGUGUGUGUUGUGUGUGUGUGGAUGUGUGUGGAUGUGUGUGGAUGUGCGUGUGUGUGUUGUAUAUCUUCAUUUGAGCAUGUAAAUUUGACAGGGUUCGCACGGAGCACUUGAGUUUGCAACGUCAUGAGAUCUGUUUGAAAUAGCAGCCAAAUCUCUGUCGAUUCACACCUUACUGAUUUACAAAAGAGGUCCUUAUCCAUCACAGUAUGCGGAUUUGCAGUUCUGGAAACACUAUCUGCAAAAAUAAAUAAAUAAAUAAAUAAAAUAAAAUAAAAUAAAAUAAAAGACAGGACAGCCACGAGUGGAAUCGGUUUUGAAUAUGUCGGCCGAAUCGUGGCUGACAUGGGGGUAAAUAUAACAACAUCGCAUGUAGCGAACGUGUAUUUGUAUACGCGUGUGUGUAUAUGUGAGUGUGUGACUGAUUGUGUUGUUUGUGUGUGUAUUGACUUGUGGAUGUGUUUAUCUGUAAGGGUAUUUCUAUAGGUGCGUGUAUAUAUCAUAUUUGUGUCGAUGAGUGUCGAUGUAUAUCUGUGAGUGAUGCAACUUUGUUUCCAUGUGACCUUUGGAUAUGUGUGCGCGCGUGUGUGGCAUGUGUGUGUAUAUGUGGGAGAUAGAGAAACAGAGUAUGUGUACAUGUGUGUGUGUGUGUGCGCGCACACACAGCAUACACACACAAUAAACAAUUCACACACAUAUGUCUGUAGAUGUAUAUGUGUGUGUCUAUAUAUGUUUGUACGUACGUAUAUACAUUUGUAUGCAUGUGCGUGUGUGUGUGUAAAUAUGUAUGUUCAUAUGCAUGUAUGCAUGUGUAAGAAGGGUAUUGCGUACGCCUUGUUUGCCGUUGUGUAUGUAUGUUUGAUGCUUCGGAUUUGCACGUGUGUGUACGUAUAUCUAUCUAUCUAUCUAUCUAUCUAUCUAUCUAUCUAUCUAUCUAUCUAUCUAUCUAUAUUUCUGUCUAUCUGUCUGUCUGUCUAUCUAUCUAUCUAUCUAUCUAUUAUAUAUAUAUAUAUAUAUAUAUAUUUCUUUUAUGUCUAUUAUAUAUAUAUAUAUUCUUUUAUUCUUUUACUUGUUUCAGUCAUUUGAUUGCGGCCAUGCUGGGGCACCGCCUUUAGUUGAACAAAUCGACCCCAGCACUUAUUCUUUGUAAGCCCAGUACUUAUUCUAUCGGUCUCUUUACUAAGUUACAGGGACGUAAACACACCAGCAUUGGUUGUUAAUCGAUGGUGGUGGUGGUGGGGACAAAUACAGACACACAAACAUACAAUUACACACACACACACAUGUAUAUAUAUAUAUAUAUAUAUAUAUAUAUAUAUAUACGAUGGGCUUCAUUCGGUUUCCAAGGCUUUGGUCGGCCCGGGGUUUAUAGUAGAAGGCACUUGCCGAAGGUGCCAUGCAGCGGGACUGAACUUGGGACCAUGUACUUGGUAAGCAAGCUAUUUACCACACAGCCACUCCUGCGCCUAUGCAUAUAUAUAUGUGUGUGUGUGUGUGUGUGUGUGUGUGUGUGUGUGUGUGUGUGUGUGUGUGUGUGCUUUCAUAUAUAUAUAUAUAUAUAUAUAUAUAUAUAUAUAUAUACAUAUAUAUAUAUACGUGCGGUUGAAUCUGUUUUUAAGGAGCUCGCUUCGAGAGUUGCAUUCCCUCGCAAUCGGUGCACUGUAUUUAUUAUGAUAGUUUUGACUUUAAGAGUCCCUCAUAGCGUGAGGCAUUUAUGUAUAGUUAUGCCCUUAAUAUAAAUAAGCACACCCACACACACAAGUAUUUGUUGUUUGCAUGUCCUCGUGUUUUGCGUGUGCCUAUGCGGAAGCUUCCUUGCAUGUAAGAGUUUAUGCUUAUCUAUCUAUGCUUGUGUAUACGUUUUGCAUGUGUUCGCUUUCCAUAUGUCUGCUUAAGUAUAGUCGUAAUAUGUACGAGUGACGUUGCAUAUUUUGAAUCUGUGAGUCUAUCAACGAGCGUGUGUAUGUAUGCGUGUGUGCAUGCGUGUAUCUGUGUGUGUGUGUGUGUGUGUGUUUGGAUGUAUGUGUGUGUGUGUAUGUGUGUGAAGUAUCUGCUUUUAUGCGAGAGUUAUAGUAUAGUUGUGUACAUGUUUAUGCCUCGGUGUGCUAUUAUAUAUAAUAGAAUGUCAUAGCUUGAGUGUACAUGUGUGUAUAUGUGUGUUCUCUGUAAAUUUUUUUAAUGCGUGUGUCUUGUCAAUGAGCACCUUUGUGUGUGCAUAUAUGUGCAUAUAUAUAUAUAUAUAUAUAUAUAUAGGAGUGGGUGUGUGGUAAGUAGCUUGCUAACCAACCACAUGGUUCCGGGCUCAGUCCCACUGCGUGGCACCUUGGGCAAGUGUCUUCUGCUAUAGCCCCGGGCCGACCAAUGCCUUGUGAGUGGAUUUGGUAGACGGAAACUGAAAGAAGCCUGUCGUAUAUAUGUAUAUAUAUAUGUAUGUAUGUGUGUGUGUGUUUGUGUGUCUGUGUUUGUCCCCCUGGCAUUGCUUGACAACUGAUGCUGGUGUGUUUACGUCCCCGUCAACUAGCGGUUCGGCAAAAGAGACCGAUAGAAUAAGUACUGGGCUUACAAAGAAUAAGUCCCGGGGUCGAUUUCCUCGACUGAAGGCGGUGCUCCAGCAUGGCCGCAGUCAAAUGACUGAAACAAGUAAAAGAGUAAAAGAGUAAAGAGUAUAUACACAUACACACAUUCGCACACACACACACACACAUAUAUAUGUAUGUCAGUACUCAUAGAUAAGUGUGUGUGUGUUAGUUGCGUACGUGUGUAUGUUCAGACGCAUUUGUAGUUGAAUGACUGUGUCAGUGUGUCUGUGACUUCGUAUGUUUGACAUUCCAUAUAUUGCUGUGCGCAUGCGUCGAGCCGAGCUGUACAGGAGCUUGUGUAAACGCACACGUGCGCGCGCCUAUGUGUGUGUGUGUGCGCGCGCGUGUGUCUGUGCGUAUGUAUGUUAUUGUAUCUGCGUUUACUCCAAUGCGUACAUGUAUGUAUAUAUAUGAGUAUAUAUAGCCGUACGUCUCAGUGACACGGUGAAAGAGCUACGUGGAUAUGAUAACAGGCAAUCAACACGUCAUUUAGGCGUGAUAGCUGACCAUCCCACGAAUCACAGCUCUCUCUCUCUCUCUUUCUCUCUCUCUCCCUCUCUCUCUCUCUCUUUCUCUCUCUCUAUCUAUCUAUCUAUCUAUCUAUCUAUCUAUCUAUAUAUCUAUCUAUCUUUCUCCCACUUCUGUCUGUCUGGCGCUUGGACAACAGAUAUUAGUGACACCUCACAUCUGCAAUGACGUCUUUCGUAUUUUGUCUGCGAAAAACAACCUGUUUCGUUUUGGUUUAGUUGCCUCCUUGCCCCGUAGGGGGGUUGCAAAAAAAGUAAAAAGUAAAAAAAAAAAAAAAAAAUAGUGAGUUAAAUACAUUCAAAGACGCAGUUUUCGGUGACUGACAUCACUAAAAUGUGUGUGCGAAUGUGCUAAUGUUUGUGUAUACGUGUACGUGUUUGUGUGUGUGUAGGUGUACGUGUUUGUGUUUGUGUGUGUGAUUAAUGUGUAUAUGUGUGUACGAGUGUACGCGUAACAUGUAUAUGCGUGAGUGCAUGAGUAUAUGUAUGCACACAUGUACGUAUAUAUGUGUGUGUGUGUGUGUGUUUGAUUAAAUAGAUAGAUUUACAUAUGUAUACAGAUAUAUUAUGUACACAUAUAUGUGUAUAUGUAUGUGUGUGUGUGUGUGUAUACAUAUAUAUAUAUAUACAUAAUAAAUACAUACAUAUAUAUGUGUGUAUGUGUGUGUUUGUGUGUGUGUGUAUAUAUAUACAUAAUAAAUACAUACAUAUAUAUGUGUGUAUGUGUGUGUUUGUGUGUGUGUGUAUAUAUAUAUAUAUACAUAAUAAAUACAUACAUAUAUAUGUGUGUAUGUGUGUGUUUGUGUGUGUGUGUGUGUGUGUGUGUUAUAAAGGAAGAGGUGGGGGUGACUCACUUACCCCACCUCAUUCCUCCUAUUUUCUUCUCUACACUCUUACUGUUUCUCCGCUAGCUCUCUCCUACUCUCUCUCUCUCACUCUCUCUCUCUCUCUCUCUCUCUCUAGCUCUCUUUCACUUUCACUUCUAUCCCUCUUCAUUUCACACUCCCCCCCCCCUUAUACUGUGUAAUAAUAUUACAUUCAUAAGUAAACACGCACACACACACCAUCAUAUCUAUUAUCUCUCUGUCUCCCCUUUCCUCUUUGUCUCUCUUUCUCUCUCUCUCUCUCUCUCUCUCUCUCUCUUCAACAGGACCUCUCCCUUUUCCUUCUUUUUGACCUACACAAACUCAUACAUAUUCAUGUAUGAGUUUCACUAUGUUAGUUUCUCUCUCUCUCUCUCGCUCGCUCUAUCUCUCUUUCGCCCUCUCCCCCUUGUCUCUCUCUCUCACUUAAUCUCUCUUUCUCCCUCCCUCCCUCCCUCCCUACCCCUGGUCUCUCCCUCCCUCUCGCUCUAUCUCUCUUUCGCCCUCUCUCCCUAUCUCCCUCUCUCUCUCACUCUCACUCAAUCUCUCUUUCUCCCUCCCUCCUCAUUCCCCUGGUCUCUCUUCCUCUCGCUCCUAUCUCUCUUUCGGCCUCUCUCCCCUUCUCCCCCCCUCUCUCUCACUCAAUCUCUCUUUCUCCCUCUCUUCCCCUUCUCUUCCUUUACCUCUAUUUGACAUCACGUACACAAACGUACGCACGCCCACCCUCUUGUCUGUCCUACACACUCAGUCCUCUUUUACCACACACACACACUGAUCUACUCAUAUGCACACACGCAUAUUCACACACUCAUACACACAUACGCACUCAUACAAGCAUUUCAGACACUUUCUCUAUUUCACACAUACACAUACAUACACAUAGACUUCUUAUCUUUCUAUUUGUUUUUUCCCAGUAUGUUACAUCCUUUCUGGUUUCUGUACUUUUCUUCCAAAUAGUCUCACUUGCUUUCUCUCUUUUUCACACACACACACACACACACACACACACACACACACACACACACACACAUAUAUUCCUUCUCUCUCCCCCUAUGGGUGCACGGACAUAACUUUGUUACUUGUUUCAUUCAUUUGACUGCUGCCAUACUGGGCCACCACCUCGAAGAAUUUAGUAAAGCAAAUUGACCUUAGUAGUCGUUUUUUAAUUUUUUCGGUGAGGGAGGGUGGUACUUAUAACUUAUAAUUUGGUACUUAUAACUAUCAAUCUCUUCGGCCGAACAUUAAGCUAAAACUAUGGGAACGUAAACAAACCAACCUCUGUCGUCAAGCGCUGCUGGGACAGCAAACACAAAUAGACACGCACACACAUAUAUCUAUAUAUAUAAAACUGUAGUUGUGUGAGUGUCUGUCCCCUUCGAUUUAGAUUCCUAACUACUCCCACAUUUUGCGGUGCAGUUUAACCAAAUUCGGGUAUCUUAUAGUCGUGAUUCAUAUCGAGCCCGUCUGGGUAUUAGCGCGCGUCUACGAUGAGUCUACGAUUUUAAAAAUAAUUUAACAUAAUUUUUUAUUCCAUUUUAAUGCAUAAUUUUUCGUGUGUCGAUGGCGGCGGAGUUGGCGUCCAUGGUCACACCUGCACCUGUUUGCUUCUCCCCCUUCUUCCCUCCCUCGUGAAGCUGUGGGGAAGGGAGUGUAAGGAAAUCAACGUCGUAAAGCGUUGUCAAGGAGACCAGCGUUCUUUUAGAACAACGACUUCAUGGCUUGAAGACACCAAAACAGAUAUGGCUAAGAAAGCCCGAAUUGGCAUCUAUAAGGGUAGUAACUCUCUAAAAAUGCUUAUAUAGUUAUUUCCCUUACAAACCCGAGCAACGCCGGGCGAUACUGCUAGUACGAUAUAUAAAUAUACUUAGACAGACAGACAGAUAGAUAGAUAGAUAGAUAGAUAGAUAGAUAGAUAGAUAGAUAGAUAGAUAGAUAGAUAGAUAGAUAGAUAGAUAGAUAGAUAGAUAGAUAGAUAGAUAGAUAGAUAGACAGAUAGAUAGAUAGGCAGGCAGGCAGGCAGACAGGCAAGCAGGCAGACAGACAGACAGACAGACAGACAGACAGACAGACAGAUAGGUAGGUAGAUAGAUAGAUAGAUAGAUAGAUAGAUAGAUAGAUAGAUAGAUAGAUAGAUAGAUAGAUGGAGAUACAAGUCGGGUAUGCACACAUUUUCCGUCUACCAAAUUCAUUCACACACAAGGCAUUGAUCGGCCUGGGGCUAGUAGAAGACAUCUGCGCAAGGGGCCACGCAGUGGAAUUAAACCCAGAACGAUAUAGCUGCCAAGCAGCCCUUCUUACCACAAAGCCAUGCCUGCCCUCACAGUCAUGUCUUAAGAAAGAAGCUUUGAUUCCAUAGAUGGCACUUCGGACGAGUGUCUUCUAGUUUUUAAUACCCUUCUGUAAACUCAAGCUUUGUGAAUGAAAUUGGUUUGAUGGACAUUAUACAGAAGACUGUCGACUGAACAGUACCUGUGAUUCGAAGCAUCUGCCAUUGUUUAGAAACAGUGCCACGCUGAAUCUGUUUGAGAAAUACGUUAGGGCUUGGUGCCUACGAAAUACUCAGCUACUUAUAACGAAUGGAUAGUUCCGUUAAUUCGAAUAACAGGAACACUUCUUCGUGAAAGUUGAUGAAGACGGAGGUCCUUGAUAUAUACGUGUGUGGGGGUGAGUGUAUAUAUAUAUAUGUAUGUGUGUUUGUAUUUAUACAAACACAGACUUUCACACACACAGAUUGUACCGAAAGUAAUAUAAAAGUGGACAUAGCUUUUUAUUAACGGACUCUAUAGUCGUUUAAAUUGCACCUGUUAGUAAAGUUACUCUACAUCUGUACUUAUUCUAUUUCCUCUUCUCCUUUUUUGCAGACAAAUAAUGGAUUCCAGACAGAACAUACAACAUACUGUCGUUGACUUCUUGAUGAAAGAUGUAUUCAGGCUAACCGACAUCUACAGAAGACAACAGGUUGUUUACAGAAAUGUCUCC
Molecule: long non-coding RNA, 7155 nt
Filed under: Octopus vulgaris (common octopus)
Lineage: Eukaryota; Metazoa; Mollusca; Cephalopoda; Octopoda; Octopodidae
Source: RNAcentral